UACGAAGGGGGCUAGCGUUGUUCGGAAUCACUGGGCGUAAAGCGCACGUAGGCGGCUUGUUAAGUCAGAGGUGAAAGCCUGGAGCUCAACUCCAGAACUGCCUUUGAUACUGGCAAGCUCGAGGAUAGCAGAGGUUGGUGGAACUCCGAGUGUAGAGGUGAAAUUCGUAGAGAUUCGGAAGAACACCAGUGGCGAAGGCGGCCAACUGGGCUAUUACUGACGCUGAGGUGCGAAAGAGUGGGGAGCAAACAGG
Molecule: ribosomal RNA, 253 nt
Filed under: uncultured bacterium
Lineage: Bacteria
Description: partial 16S ribosomal RNA
Rfam family: Bacterial small subunit ribosomal RNA
Source: RNAcentral